This is a long non-coding RNA of Xenia sp. Carnegie-2017, 529 nucleotides long. RefSeq lists it as uncharacterized. The transcript is spliced from 2 exons. NCBI's taxonomy places the organism in Eukaryota, Metazoa, Cnidaria, Anthozoa, Malacalcyonacea, Xeniidae. The record is from RefSeq and is a predicted model, not a curated record.
GGAGAGCACAAACACGAAGAGUGCAAGAAGAUAACAGGACGGACAGAACGUAUGCAACUUCUUCAUAUAAACUGGGAUUGCGACAAUGAUCUGUUCAUGUUCGAGCUGCAAAAGUUUGUAGGAGACUUGGGUGACAAGAAGUUAACUAAACGAAACCUGCUGAGCGCACUAGCAAAGAUAUUUGAUCCGCUAGGAUUAAUUAGCUGCGUAAUAGUUUUGAUGAAAAUCUUGUUUCAGCAGCUGUGCGUAGAAAAGAUUGAUUGGGAUGACGAGAUAAGCAGAAAGUACGCCUGUCUAUACACUGAAUGGAUUGAAGAUAUAAACCGUGUUAAGACUAUUAAGCUAAGUAGAUCAGGGGCGGAACUAGCACCUUUUUAAUGGGGGGGGGGCUGGGGAUGAAAUUGCCCUGCAAGGACAUAAGAUGCCCUGCAGAUCAUAUGGAACAGUACUUACACUAUAUAUUUUUGUAAUACAUGUUGUAUUUUUGUGGCAGAACGCACUUUAGCGUACUAUUAAAUCUUUAAUGGCA